GACGAACGCUGGCGGCGUGCCUAACACAUGCAAGUCAACUUGACUGAAGGAGCAAUCUGACAGUAGAGUGGCGCAAGGGUGCGUAACGCGUAAGUAACUUGCCCCAAGGUAAGGAAUAAACGUCGAGAAAUCGGCGCUAAUACCUCAUAAUGCAGCGGAUCCGCAUGGAUAUGUUGUUAAAGGUUUUACCGCCUUGGGAUAGGCUUGCGUCUGAUUAGCUAGUUGGUGUGGUAACGGCACACCAAGGCUACGAUCAGUAACUGGUCUGAGAGGAUGAUCAGUCACACUGGAACUGAGACACGGUCCAGACUCCUACGGGAGGCAGCAGUGAGGAAUAUUGGGCAAUGCUCGAAAGAGUGACCCAGCAACGCCGCGUGAGGAUGAAGGUAUUCUAUAUCGUAAA
RNAcentral lists this ribosomal RNA (403 nucleotides) under uncultured bacterium. RNAcentral describes it as "bacterial SSU rRNA". It matches the Rfam family "Bacterial small subunit ribosomal RNA", at positions 28 to 429 of the family's 1533-position model. The record is from RNAcentral.